This 6236-nucleotide long non-coding RNA is filed under the name Homo sapiens (human). RNAcentral's name for it is "HSALNT0397446". Lineage: Eukaryota; Metazoa; Chordata; Mammalia; Primates; Hominidae. The record is from RNAcentral.
AGACUUCCUGGUCACGGUAAUGUCUCUUCCAACGUGGAGCCAGGACGCUCCGCCUUUGGGGAACGCUGGUGCAGGGCUUGGGACUCAGGGCAGUGCGGUCGAGCCCCUACCCACUCCGGAGAACCCCCGGCCCCGCCAGCGCGGCCGGGCUGCUGGCUCCCCUGGCGUCCGGUCGAGGCGCACACCCGCCUCGGUCCGACUGUGACCCCGGUGAGCUUCGGACCAUUCUGCCCCGCGACCUCAGCCUGAGAAGACCCGGGGCCCUGCCAGCUCCCGGGACUAUAACUUCAGUUGAGUCGCUACUUCCGCGGAUCCUGAGCUGGGGGAAAGUCGAGGGGUCCGGAAGGCUCAGGAGGGAUCGUGGACUUCAGGGUUCCCAGGCUGCUGGCGUGGAGCACCAACACCUUACAUGGAGGGGUUUCUGCUGCCAGAGCAGGCAAGGCCCUCCCCUCCCUAGUUUCUCACUGACCCCUUCUGGGUGUCCUCACGCAACUACACCAGCCACUGGUCUCCGCACUUUCCAGAGGGCCUGUGGGCAACUACGAAGCCGAACACUGCCAACCCAUCCACCCAGCAUCCCUGCAGCAUGCACAGAAAGGUUCACCCAGCAUGGUGUGCAAUAGGAAACUAAGCUCCUAUCUCAGCCUAUUUCUGGAUUGAUGCACGCUGUGCAAAAUGCCGUGGCAGCAGGAAGAGGGCUGCACAUAAGCAAGGGGUUCUGGAAAUUAAGACGUCUAGAGGAGAAAGCGUGAGACAUCCCGUGAUGGCAAUGCCACCGCCACCCCCUUGCCUAACCAAACCGUCCUCUGCUCCGGGCAAGUGGCCAUCUGGGAGCAUUAGCCAGGGAGGCACUCAUUGUGUCUUGCCAUCACGUCCACAGAGGGGGCCCCACACCUUGUCAUACUCAUUUGACAAACUCUCCAGAACUGCUGGUGCCAGCCCCCACAGGUCACCUUACAGGGCAACUCCAGACUCCACAAUGUGAGUCUAAUAUGUGUUCCAAGAAUCAAACAGGAUGAGCACCAAGACAUAAAGCUUAGAAAUAGCAAGACUGCUUUUCAGAUGCACAUGCACGCUUGUUUUCCAAAGGAAUUAGAUUUAUUCUGCAUGAAAACGGAAAGUGUUCACUCCCCAAGCUGAGAGCUGAGGAGGUGGCACUGUGCUGAGUCCAGCCAGGGCUUGGGUCCUGCCCCAGUCUGACAGGCCUGCUGAGCCUGGGAGGGGCCCAAGAGAAAGCCCCUGCAAAGCCCCGAAACCUACAUGCUAGGUAGCCUGUGCUGGAGUCACUCAAAGGGGCCUGUGGCUGUCAGUCAUCCUUGCUUCCCCUUGGCGGCGGUGAGUUCUCCCUUUCCGAUGAUGAUGAUGACGAUGAAGUAUCUGCUGGCAAGCCCCUUGUAUCUAUCCGGCAGAACACGCAUUGGGUGAACAUUUCAGAAGAGGUGUCACUCUUGAAGAUGGAGAAAGGCCUGUCACAUCUUUCGCACUGACAUGGGAUAUUUUAAAAGAGCAGAAAGGAGGUGCUGGUCAGAGGUGAUCCAGGCAUGCCAUUAGAAUUCUCCCAGCUACCUUGAGCUGGGGCAAGGCAAGGGUUCCCCUCUCUGGAAUCUCUUUUUGGUUUGUUUGUUUGUUUUUGUUUUUGUUUUUGAGACAGAGUCUCACUUUGUUGCCCAGGCUGGAGUGCAGUGGCACCAUCUAGGCUUACUGCAACCUCCGCCUCCCAGGUUCAAGCAAUUCUCCUGCCUCAGCCACCCGAGUAGCUGGGAUUACAGGCGUGCACCACCACAUCCUGCUAAUUUUUGUAUUUUUAGUAGAGAUGGGGUUUCUCCAUGUUGGCCAGGCUGGUCUUGAACUCCUGGCCUCAAGUGAUCCACCCACCUUGGCAGCCCAGAGUGCUGGGAUUACAGGCGUGAGCCACUGGGCGCAGCCCCUCUCUGGAAUCUCUAACCCCACAAAGGCGGAAAUUGCAGAGAGAAUGAGCACAGGCUGCUUCCCCACCAAUGGCUAAGCAGGUCCUGCCAGCUCAUGUCUCCUGCCAGCUCAUGUCUCCUGCCAGCUCAUGUCUCCUGCCAUGGGGGUCCUGAGGACAUGCGUGGCAAGCCCCUUGACAGUUGGGAGGAUGGGGGUGAGUGUCCCGCCCCAUCCAUUGUUCUGUGCCGAGUAAAAUUGUGGGACUAAGAGGAUGACUCCCUGACAUCCUGAGAACACCCAACUUUUACAGAACCAUGAGACGCAAGUAGGCAAGAUUUCUGAACAAAGCAGGGGUGUGAAGCAGAUUGAUGCAGGUGCUAGGUGCCCUCCUGCGUCCCUGAGCCUGUUUCUGGCCAAAGCUCACAGAGUACACUGAAAACAAAUGGCACAGCUCACCCAUCACGUCUGCUUCCCACUAACAAGCAAGAGUGCCAUGGGAUGAGGUCUCCUAGGCCAUGGGCAGAGGCCCCUCAGGGGUUCCCACCAUGCAUGGUCCCCUGGAGAAGAGCCUGCAAGGUGGCCGCGCCCCUGCCCUGGCUCUCCCAGCCCCUGGGCUUUGCUGUUCUGCCCACUCCAGGACACUGAGGCCUGCUGGAGAGGGGGGUAAACCCUACCUGGGGCAGGCCUCGGGGAAGCCUGGCCUCAGGCUUCUCAUGUUGAUUGAUUCAGAGCAAGUCAAAUGCAGCAGGCUCAUCCUUGCUUCAGCUUCAGGUAGGCCUCUUUCUUUUCCUUUUUUGCAAGAAAUAGAUUAGAUCCCAGUUUGGGUGCGGAUAGCUUGCGCCUGUAGUCCCAGCACUUUGGGAGGCUGAGGCGGGCGGAUCACUUGAGCUCAGGAGUUCGAGACCAACCUGGCCAACAUGGUGAAACCCCGUCUCUAAUAAAAACACAAAACAAUUAGCCAGCGUAGUGGUGGGCGCCUGUAGUCCCAGCUACUCGGGAGGCUGAGGCAGGAGAAUCGCUUGAACCCGGGAGGCGGAGGUUGCAGUGAGACGAGAUCGCGCCACUGCACUCCAGCCUGGGCGACAGAGCGAGACUCCAUCUCAAAAAAGAAAUAAAAAGAAAAAAGGAAAUUUGAUCCUUUACCUACCUUAUCCUACAUUCCUACAUCCCACGGUCCAACCCCAGAACAACAGGGCUCACAGAGGAGGAGGCUCCCAGGCCUUGCCCUAGGUGGCCAGUGAAAAACAAGGGCCAUCACUGCUCUGUAGCAAGUCAGCUUUCACAGUUUAAGGGCCAAACAGGGACAAGGUCCAUGUGAGUCCCACCCCUCACACAACUGCCUUGCAGUGCGGCUCCCAAAUUAGCCAUUCCCAGAAGCAGUGGCUCCCAGCCGAACCUUCUGAGAGGAGGCCAAGUCUAGGCAGCUCCAGGAUUCCCAGGGAAGGACUUAAAGGGGCCCAGCCUGCACUCCAAGGCAGCAGCCAGGUGUGUGCACAGAGAGGCUCCAGCGGAGAGUUGCCUCCACUGCCCAGGGACAGCCUCUGUGGCCAGCCCCAGCUGUGCCUGGUGAAGCAGAAAAUAUGCUGGCCUGACCACCAAGCUCUUGCACUAGAGAAGCGCAGGCACCUAAGCCUUUUGCAUGGGAAGUGGGGCACUGGGGACCUGCCCAGGGUAGGAGGCUGACGCAGUGCCCAGCUGUGUACCCGGCCAUUCCUCCACUGACCAGUGCUCCUGCAGGUCUCAUCCCCUCCAAGCCCCCUCACUCCACCCCUCCGAUGCACCAGGCUGGCUCCUGCCUCUCAGGCUCUCUCUGCAUUGGCUGUUCUCUAUGCUGGGAAGUUCUUUCUUCUCUUUUUUUUUUUUUUUUUUUUUUUUUUUUGAGACAGAGUCUCGCUCUGUCACCCAGGCUAGAGUGCAGUGGCGCAAUCUCAACUCACUGCAACUUCCAUCUCCCAGGUUCAAGGGAUUCUCCUGCCUUAGCCUCUCGAGUAGCUGGUAGUACAGGUGUGCACCACCAAGCCUGGCUAAUUUUUUUGUAUUUGUAGUAGAGACAGGACUUAACCAUGUUGGCCAGGCUGGUCUCGAACUCCUGACCUCAGGUGAUCCGCCUGCUUCAGCCUCCCAAAAUGUUGGGAUUACAGGCGUGAAACACCGCAUCCAGCUGGAAGUUCUUUCCUCUAAAUAUCUGCAUGGCUCACCCCCUCACCACCUUCAAGUCGACACAGCUGUCAGUCCUCAAUGAGACCUAUCCUGACCACCCUUUAAAAUCUUGCAACCUCCAGCACUCCUACUCCUGUUUGCUAUGUAUUUUUCUGUCAAUUACUUAUCACCAUGAGACUUACUACACAUUUUUCUUGUGUCUUUCCUCUUUGUUUCCUCUCUUAGAAUUUAAGCUCCCCUGGGGCAAAAAUGUCAGUCUGUUUGUUCACGAUUGCAUCUCCAGGUGCCCAAAGUUCAUUCAAAUGAUAAAUUAAUUUAUAGAGGGAACUAACGAAAGCCUUCACUGGGCUUAAUUUUACCCAAUACCAACCUGUUUCAACUUUAAGCCCACGGCCUUUUUGUACUUGAUUACCAAAGGAAUUUCAUCAAUUUCUUCAAUAUUCCACAGUCUCAUGGUCCUAUCCUAAAACAAAUAGCAAACCAGCGGUCACAAAACAGGCUGUGGUACAUCCAUACAAAGGAAUGUCAUUCAACAAUCAAAAGACAUGGGCUGUCAAGGCACAAAAAGACAGAGGAACCUUCAAUGCACAUUGUUAUGCCAUAGAAGCCAACCUGAAGAGGCUACAGAGUAUAAUUCCAACCAUAUGACAUUCUGGAAAAGGCAAAACUGAAGAAUAUAAAUAGAUGAGUCAUUGCCCAGGAUUAUAGGGAAGAGGAGGAGGGAUGAAUAGUAAAACUAUUCUGUAUGGCCAGGCGCGGUGGCUCAUGCCUGUAAUCCGACCACUUUGAGAGGCCAAGGUGGGUGAGGUCAGGAGUUCAAGACCAGCCUGACCAAUAUGGUGAAACCCCGUCUCUACUAAAAAUACAAAAAUAGCUGGGCACAGUGGCGUGCACCUGUAGUCCCAGCUACUUGGGAGGCUGAGGCAGGAGAAUCACUUGAACCCAGGAGGCGGAGGUUGCAGUGAGCCAAGAUCGCACCACUGCACUCAAGCCUGUGCGACAGAGUGAGACUCUGUCUCAAAACAAACAAACAAACAAAACUAUAUGACACUGUAUUGGUGGAUAUAUGAUAUGCAUUUGGCAAAAAUAUACAGUAACACAAAGCAUGAAACUAUAAAACCAUGGACCUUAGUUAAUAAUAGUUCCUGAAAGGAAUGCAGUCCUGUUGAUACCUAGAUUUUAGCCCAGUGAGAGCUUAUCAGACUUCUAUCUUACAGUACUGUAAGAUAUUAAAUUUAUGUUGUUUAAUGUUUAAACAGUACAGUCUGGUAACUUAUUAUAGCAGCAAUAAAAAAAUGGAUACAUUGAGUAUGUUACAUUUCUUGAUUCAGCAGUUGCAACUAAAUAUCCUGUGGGAGAACAAAGGGGUCAUUUUUGUAACAGAUGUGUUGACUUCAUGCUGCCUAAAGCUGUCAGAUCUUACCAAUAAGCAUACUUCCUACAGUAUAGCAAGUGGUUUGUCAAAUCAUGACAACAAAAAACAUCCUCCCAGCUCUUAGAUACUUUAAUUCAAAAGUUAGUUUCAAGCUGGGCAUGGUGGCUCACACCAGUAAUCCCAGCACUUUGAGAGGCCAAGGCAGGCGGAUCACCUGAGGUCAGGAGUUUGAGACCAGCCUGGCCAACAUGGCGAAACUCUGUCUCUACUAAAAAUACAAAAAUUAGCCAGGCCUGGUGCUGCAUGCCUGUAAUCCCAGCUACUCAGGAGGCUGAGGCAGGAGAAUCACUUAAACUUGGGAGGCAGAGUUUGCAAUAAGCCGAGAUCGCACCAUUGCACUCCAGCCUGGGUGACAGAGCGAGACUCUGUCUCAAAAAAAUAAUAAUAAUAAUAUUUUUUAUUUAGCUGGGUGUGGUGAUACACACCUAUAGUGUGUUUGGGGCCACUUUUCACCUUCCUCGAAAUGUACAGAAGCACUUAAUGAGAUUUUUUCUUUCUUUUUUUCUCUUUUUUUAAGACAGGGUCUUACUCUGUCACCCAGGCCCGAGUGCAGUGGCAUGCCCUCAGCUCACUACAACCUCCGCUUCGCAGGCUCCAGUGAUUCUCCUGCCUUGGCCCCCCGAAUAGCUGGGACUACAGGCAUGCGCCACCAUACCCCACUAAUAUUUUGUAUUUUUAGUAGAGAUGGGGUUUGGGCACGUUGCCCAGGCUGGUCUCAAACUCCUGAGCUCAG